AGGCGACUUACUGGACUGUAACUGACGCUGAGGCUCGAAAGCGUGGGGAGCGAACAGGAUUAGAUACCCUGGUAGUCACGCCGUAAACGAUGAAUACUAGGUGUCUGGGGUCGAACCUAGGUGCCGCAGCUAACGCAUUAAGUAUUCCGCCUGGGGAGUACGCACGCAAGUGUGAAACUCAAAGGAAUUGACGGGGACCCGCACAAGCAGCGGAGCAUGUGGUUUAAUUCGAAGCAACGCGAAGAACCUUACCAGGUCUUGACAUACAGAUGACCGACUCUUAAUCGGGUCUUUCCUUCGGGACAUCUGAUACAGGUGGUGCAUGGUUGUCGUCAGCUCGUGUCGUGAGAUGUUGGGUUAAGUCCCGCAACGAGCGCAACCCUUACUUUUAGUUGCCAUCAGGUAAAGCUGGGCACUCUAAAGGGACUGCCGUGGACAACACGGAGGAAGGUGGGGAUGACGUCAAAUCAUCAUGCCCCUUAUGAUCUGGGCUACACACGUGCUACAAUGGUCGGUACAACAGGCAGCGAAAGGGUGACCUGGAGCUAAUCCUCUAAAGCCGAUCUCAGUUCGGAUUGUAGGCUGCAACUCGCCUACAUGAAGUUGGAGUUGCUAGUAAUCGCGGAUCAGAAUGCCGCGGUGAAUGCGUUCCCGGGUCUUGUACACACCGCCCGUCACACCAUGGAAGCUGGGGGCGCCCGAAGUCCGUGAUCCAACCCUUUUAGGGAGGAAGCGGCCGAAGGUGAAAUCAGUGACUAGGGUGAAGUCGUAACAAGGUAACC
Molecule: ribosomal RNA, 782 nt
Filed under: uncultured marine microorganism
Description: bacterial SSU rRNA
Rfam family: Bacterial small subunit ribosomal RNA
Source: RNAcentral